Long non-coding RNA from Alligator mississippiensis (American alligator), 636 nucleotides. RefSeq lists it as uncharacterized. The record is from RefSeq and is a predicted model, not a curated record. The transcript has 3 exons. NCBI's taxonomy places the organism in Eukaryota, Metazoa, Chordata, Crocodylia, Alligatoridae.
UCUGCCCUCCUAAACUUACUGGAAGUUACUGCAGGCUGCAACUGUAGACUACAAAUCCCAGAGGCACCUGGAAGCAAGAAGAGGAAGUGAAGAGUAAUCCUGCCGAGCCCUGCUGCUGGACUGCAAAUCCCAGAUACCUUGAGGGCAGCAGGAAGAAGAAGUGCCUGCAGCCAUGCUGUAGACCCCCUUGGCUUCUGGCCCAAGCCACUUCAUAUAUAUGGCUGCAUUUCCUGAAUCAAAGAUGGCGAGAUACCUGAUCAUAAAAGGAGAUGAGGCAAGAUACCUAUGGGAGACAUACCCAAGGCCCAUCUGCCCAACCUUAAAAUAUUUCCUUACCUUUGAAGAAAAAUGGCUACAAGUCCUAUAUGAUGGUGUUGAACAUAACAGGAAUGUAUCCAACAGUGGCCAGUAAAACAAAAGGAAGCAACAGUAACUGAGAAAUAUGUUGUCAUUCAAAAAAUAGUUACAUUCCCAAAAUGGUGUGUAUGUGAGUUAGCACAGCCUCGUAAUAGGAAAUGAGAAAGUAACCUUGUUCCAACAUAUUGUGCAAAGCAAUAUAAGUGACAUUUGUUAUUCAUUGUUUAUAUAGUACCAUCAAGGUACAGGGUGCUUUACAUGCAUCUUGUUUUCAUUGUC